AUUACACUCUGUACCUGAUCUACCUCCCAUGAAAACAGGAUACCUCAUAAGCAUUUUUGUUCUCAGUUUUACCUACUCCUCUUUCUCCACUCACCAGGAUUGACUGACUUCCAUGUUUGUAAAUCAUGGCUCUGAUGCGUCAAAGGUUUUCAAACGGGUCAGGUCAGCUAAAAACACCUCUAUUUUUUAACGAAUAGUCAACUUUGCAUGACAAUACUUGUAAGAAUCGUCUGCAAUGGUGAAAAGAUGUAGGUUUAACCCUCCAAAAGUGGCACCUUCAUAUUGUUGCAUCAUGUGAAUACCAUCCAUAUGUGACAACAAUGUUCCGUGUGUUAUCAUACAUAACAUUUUGAUCAGUUUUAAUCAUUAUAAUAUUGUAAUAAAAAGAACCCGCAACAGAUGUCCAUGCUGCGACUCCAAUUGCAUAUGAUGCAACAGGACAUCCACCAUGGAAAAUAUAUAUUUGCAAACAAAUAAAAAAGGCUAUAUUUUCUACUCAUUAGAUGUUAUUUUUAAACUAAUAAAUAUCUCAUAUAACUUGGGAGUUGUGUGAAAAUUGAAAAAUAUAAAUAAUUCACUAUUUGUUUUUUUAGCAGAUUAUAGAUUAUAUAGGACUUCUUUGAUGAAUUAGCUACAGAAUUGUUUAAGUGACAUGAUAUAAAGAUAAGGAUGAUGAUAAUAAGAUACUAAUCUAAUGGUGGUGAUAGUGAUACUAAUCUUGCUGAAGUUUUUCUAUGAUUGAAUUUGUAUUGUUUAAAAAAAAAAACUUUAAUUAUAGGAAAUAGAUUCGAGUCCAAGCUAGCAGCAAAUGCCUAUAAACAUGAAGAUAAACACUAUACAUUUGAAGGUCUUUUCUUCCAAAUUUGACGGUUCCACCAGUAGCACACGUGUUUAGUGAGAUGCUGGCAUCGAACUCUUUCUUCUUGUCAUGAGACAUUUUGAUAUGGAAGAGUAACCAAAAACAUACAACAAUUAAUAAACAAAGUUGCACAACAUGUUUGGUCUUGAUUCCUUUGGACCUCUGGUUUCCGACAGAUAAAUCAUAUUGUUUUCCAGAAUUAUAGAUGCAUUUUGACUUGUGCAGUCAAAUUGGCUUUGUAACAAUACAAAAAUUGUGUCUGAUUUAAGGUUUGUUUUCAAAGAUAUUAAACAUGAGUCUCGGCUAUUAUAAUGAAUGUCCAGAUAGUUGAAGAAAUUUUGUCAACAAAAAUCAAACCUAUGACCUAAGGCACAUGAGCAACUGGAACAAAUUUCCCCCAAAUCCAGCAAAAUCAAUAAUAAUAAGGUAAAGAAACCCUAGAAAGCACGAACUCAAUUUGGAGAAGAGGCCUUCAUUAGAAGCAAAAGAAAACAUUAGGUGAUAUUGAAUAGAUACAUACCUGGACUUUGAAGAUACCUCACCCUCAGGUCAUUGAUUUGUGAUGGUCCACGCGCCAUUAGUAAAGCCAGCUCCGCCGUAGCACUGUUGUGGCGUCGUCUGUAGUUAACAGAACAGGGUGGCCGGUGGGUAGGCCAUGGCCAACCUCCUUUACUUUCUCAUCUCUGAUAUCCUCCCUCUUUCUAAAAUUCUCUCUCCAUGUGAUGUGUGCAGGUAUGAAGCUAAGGAAGAAA
RNAcentral lists this long non-coding RNA (1611 nucleotides) under Helianthus annuus (common sunflower). RNAcentral describes it as "hypothetical non coding rna". The record is from RNAcentral. Lineage: Eukaryota; Viridiplantae; Streptophyta; Magnoliopsida; Asterales; Asteraceae.